RNAcentral lists this ribosomal RNA (545 nucleotides) under uncultured bacterium. RNAcentral's name for it is "bacterial SSU rRNA". It matches the Rfam family "Bacterial small subunit ribosomal RNA", at positions 32 to 622 of the family's 1533-position model. The record is from RNAcentral.
UACGCUGGCGGCACGCCUAACACAUGCAAGUCGAACGAAGUAGCAAUACUUAGUGGCAGACGGGUGAGUAACAUGUAGGUAUCUACCCUUUGGCCUGGAAUAACACGAGGAAACUUGUGCUAAUACCGGAUAAGUCUUUACGGAGAAAGCUUUAUGCACCAUUGGAUGAGCCUGCACUUGAUUAGUUUGUUGGUGGGGUAAUGGCCUACCAAGACUGUGAUCAAUAGCUGAUUUGAGAGGAUGAUCAGCCACAUUGGGACUGAGACACGGCCCAAACUCCUACGGGAGGCAGCAGUGGGGAAUCUUGCACAACGGAGGAAACUCUGAUGCAGCGAUGCCGCGUGAGUGAAGAAGGCCCUUGGGUUGUAAAGCUCUUUCGUCGGGGAAGAAAAUGACUGUACCCGAAUAAGAAGGUCCGGCUAACUUCGUGCCAGCAGCCGCGGUAAUACGAAGGGACCUAGCGUAGUUCGGAAUUACUGGGCUUAAAGAGUUCGUAGGUGGUUGAAAAAGUCAGUGGUGAAAUCCCAGAGCUUAACUCUGGAACU